AAGAAAGAGUUGCUGAAUUUACCAUUCAGACUGAGAUGAUGACUCAGUUUGGCAUGAUUUAAUCUUUGAUCAGAAGUAGUAGAAGGAUAAUAAAAUGUUAUUUUGAGCUCAAACACUUAGGUUUAUUCUGCAUUCAAUAAAAAGUUGCAGCUGUUUUCAUAUGAAAAAGUUCAACAAUAAUAUCAGAAAAAAAAAAAAUUAAACUAAUCUUUACUACAUUCAUCUGUAUGGAAACCUGUUGCCAAAUCUUGCUGCUUUUAGUUUAGUAAUUUCUUUUUCAAGCCUUUUAAUCCGAGCCUCUAGUGCCAAUCCUGAUAUUUCAAGUGUAUCACUACUAUCUUCUCCUUCAUUGCCAGUGAGGCUUACCUUGUUAUAAACCAGAUUUCCUUGUUUACGCUUACUUGUUUCUUCCAUGCCUCUCUGUGAACUCCCCACUGCAACCUCACUAUGCAAAAUGUUCUCUACAAAUUUUGGCAUUGAAUCCAUCUUUCUUGCAGUUUUAUCAUGUGUAAAUGAAGCUGAAGAGCUUUGAGAUUGACCAAACAACAUAUCACUAUUAUCAAAGGCUCUCUUGCCAAAAGUCUUGCAAUUAUUACAGGUAGUCAACAUUUCCUCAUCUGUUUGAUCAUGGGAAUUUUCCAUUUUCACCAUGUUAUAUUUGGGAUGAAAACCAGGUGGAACAUCAGGAACUCUAGCUUUCUUCUUUAUUUUUGCAGCCUGUUGGUCUGUUUUCAAUCUCUGCAUACUAGUUUGCAUCUCUGUAUCUUCUGUAAAUGAGGACGAAGAUCUUUGAAAUUGGCUAGACAAUUUAAUACCAUUGCUAAAUUUUGUUUUGCUAAAUCUCUUGCGUUUGCCACAAGUACCUGGUUUAUCUUCCUCAACAGAAUCUCUACU
This 894-nucleotide unclassified non-coding RNA is filed under the name Hevea brasiliensis (rubber tree). The record is from RNAcentral. Lineage: Eukaryota; Viridiplantae; Streptophyta; Magnoliopsida; Malpighiales; Euphorbiaceae.